AGUUUUAAUAGUUUAAUUUUAAAAACGUUGGUCUUGUAAACCAAAAUUAAGUCUACUUGUAAAACUA
This 67-nucleotide transfer RNA is filed under the name Pielomastax zhengi. RNAcentral's name for it is "tRNA-Thr". It matches the Rfam family "tRNA". Rfam says of the family: Transfer RNA (tRNA) molecules are approximately 80 nucleotides in length. Their secondary structure includes four short double-helical elements and three loops (D, anti-codon, and T loops). Further hydrogen bonds mediate the characteristic L-shaped molecular structure. tRNAs have two regions of fundamental functional importance: the anti-codon, which is responsible for specific mRNA codon recognition, and the 3' end, to which the tRNAs corresponding amino acid is attached (by aminoacyl-tRNA synthetases). tRNAs cope with the degeneracy of the genetic code in two manners: having more than one tRNA (with a specific anti-codon) for a particular amino acid; and 'wobble' base-pairing, i.e. permitting non-standard base-pairing at the 3rd anti-codon position. The record is from RNAcentral. Lineage: Eukaryota; Metazoa; Arthropoda; Insecta; Orthoptera; Episactidae.